UUCAACAAUAUGCUAGCAAAUUCAAAGUUUCUAAAAGUUGCAUGUUUUGUUAAGAGUGCAUGAUCAAAAAUAUAUUAAAAGUAUCCCCAUUUUUUGAGUUUACUACCUGAACUAAUGUAAUAUCCCAUAUUUUAAACAAGGACAUAUUAGUUAUUAGCUAAAAAAAAAAAUCAAAUGGGCCUUAGCCCAUCAGAAACCUAAUAAGGGGGGAAAAAUUAAAUUAAGCUAAAGAAAUUAUUGGAGUUAAGAGUUUUGUCAGCAACUCUUGGAAAAAAAAAAAGGAAGAAAGAGUAUUUCUUGGAGUCUCUUCCUGUGAAGGAGCAUGAAAUCGAUUAAAACAGAGAAAAAUAACUAAAUGGAGAAGAAGUGGAACUCUUGCUAUUUCAAGUAUGGAUUUCAAGAGAAUUCAGGUGGUAUUGAAGAGGAUUUCAUUAACUAGCGUUUGAGUUGAUAGCAUCUGGUGAGCCCCGCAUUGCUUCGUGUGGCAAGAGAACUAUUGAUUUGCUAUGUUUAUUUAGUUUCUUUUAAAAACUCUUAGAGUCGCUCCAUUUGUCAUUUCUUUAAUUUGAGUCAAGAUUAGUCCUUCGAAUUGUAGUCAAGUGACUAGUUUGGAACUUUUUCCGUAAUUUGGAGAUGAAUUGGUUUUAUUGCGUGACAAUUUGAUCAUUGAUGGAUAUUAUAUGGGUGGUUUAUAGUUGC
Molecule: long non-coding RNA, 699 nt
Organism: Solanum tuberosum (potato)
Lineage: Eukaryota; Viridiplantae; Streptophyta; Magnoliopsida; Solanales; Solanaceae
Exons: 2
Source: RefSeq, a predicted model, not a curated record